This 446-nucleotide ribosomal RNA is filed under the name uncultured bacterium. RNAcentral's name for it is "partial 16S ribosomal RNA". It matches the Rfam family "Bacterial small subunit ribosomal RNA", at positions 338 to 795 of the family's 1533-position model. The record is from RNAcentral.
CCUACGGGUGACAGCAGUCGAGAAUCAUUCACAAUGGGGGAAACCCUGGUGGUGCGACGCCGCGUGGGGGAAUGAAGGUCUUCGGAUUGUAAACCCCUGUCAUGUGGGAGCAAAUUAAAAAGAUAGUACCACAAGAGGAAGAGACGGCUAACUCUGUGCCAGCAGCCGCGGUAAUACAGAGGUCUCAAGCGUUGUUCGGAAUCACUGGGCGUAAAGCGUGCGUAGGCUGUUUCGUAAGUCGUGUGUGAAAGGCGCGGGCUCAACCCGCGGACGGCACAUGAUACUGCGAGACUAGAGUAAUGGAGGGGGAACCGGAAUUCUCGGUGUAGCAGUGAAAUGCGUAGAUAUCGAGAGGAACACUCGUGGCGAAGGCGGGUUCCUGGACAUUAACUGACGCUGAGGCACGAAGGCCAGGGGAGCGAAAGGGAUUAGAUACCCCUGUAGUC